RNAcentral lists this ribosomal RNA (491 nucleotides) under Aplastodiscus eugenioi. RNAcentral describes it as "partial small subunit ribosomal RNA". It matches the Rfam family "Bacterial small subunit ribosomal RNA", at positions 831 to 1522 of the family's 1533-position model. Lineage: Eukaryota; Metazoa; Chordata; Amphibia; Anura; Hylidae. The record is from RNAcentral.
GCUUAGCCCUAAGCCUUUAAUUACAUCUCAAACGCCAGGGAACUACGAGCAAAGCUUAAAACCCAAGGGACUUGACGGUACCCCAUAUCCACCUAGAGGAGCCUGUCCUAUAAUCGAUAACCCCCGUUCAACCUCACCACCUUUAGCUUAUCAGCCUGUAUACCUCCGUCGUCAGCUUACCGCAUGAGUGCCCUAAAGUAAGCUUAAUGUCCUCACCCGUCAAUACGUCAGGUCAAGGUGCAACUAAUAAGAUGGGAAGAGAUGGGCUACACUUUCUAAGAUAGAACAUACGGAGAACUAAUAUGAAAUCUAGUUUAAAGGCGGAUUUAGCAGUAACAGGGAUAAUAGUGCCCCUUUUAAUCAGGCCCUGGGGUGUGUACACACCGCCCGUCACCCUCCUCGCAGCUCUCGUAGAAGUAUUUAACAAAACCUAAUAUUGUAGAGGAGGUAAGUCGUAACAUGGUAAGUGCACCGGAAGGUGCGCUUGGAAA